GACGAACGCUGGCGGCGUGCUUAACACAUGCAAGUCGAACGGUAAGGCCCUUCGGGGUACACGAGUGGCGAACGGGUGAGUAACACGUGGGUGAUCUGCCCUGCACUUCGGGAUAAGCCUGGGAAACUGGGUCUAAUACCGGAUAGGACCACUGCCUGCAUGGGUGGUGGUGGAAAGCUUUUGCGGUGUGGGAUGGGCCCGCGGCCUAUCAGCUUGUUGGUGGGGUGAUGGCCUACCAAGGCGACGCCGGGUAGCCGGCCUGGGAGGGUGACCGGCCACACUGGGACUGAGAUACGGCACAGACUCCUACGGGAGGCAGCAGUGGGGAAUAUUGCACAAUGGGCGCAAGCCUGAUGCAGCGACGCCGCGUGAGGGAUGACGGCCUUCGGGUUGUAAACCUCUUUCAGCACCGACGAAGCGCAAGUGACGGUAGGUGCAGAAGAAGGACCGGCCAACUACGUGCCAGCCGCCGCAGUAA
Molecule: ribosomal RNA, 478 nt
Filed under: uncultured bacterium
Lineage: Bacteria
Description: partial 16S ribosomal RNA
Rfam family: Bacterial small subunit ribosomal RNA
Source: RNAcentral